RNAcentral lists this ribosomal RNA (521 nucleotides) under uncultured fungus. Its description in RNAcentral is "eukaryotic LSU rRNA". The stretch from base 175 to 328 matches the Rfam family "5.8S ribosomal RNA". Lineage: Eukaryota; Fungi. The record is from RNAcentral.
GAGGAUCUUACGAGAACUUGCCCUUCGGGGUAGAUCUCCCACCCUUUGUUUACAUUACCUUUGUUGCUUUGGCGGGCCCGUCUCACGACCACCGGCGGCAGAUUAGCUGGUCAGUGCCCGCCAGAGGACCCCAACUCUAAAUUUUAUGUCGUCUGAGUACUAUAUAAUAGUUAAAACUUUCAACAACGGAUCUCUUGGUUCUGGCAUCGAUGAAGAACGCAGCGAAAUGCGAUAAGUAAUGUGAAUUGCAGAAUUCAGUGAAUCAUCGAACCUUUGAACGCACAUUGCGCCCCUUGGUAUUCCGGGGGGCAUGCCUGUUCGAGCGUCACUAACACACUCAAGCUCUGCUUGGUAUUGGGAAUCGCUGGUCAUCUAGUGUACCCUAAAAUCAGUGGUAGUGCCAUUCGGCUUCAAGCGUAGUAAAUCUCUCGCUCUGGAUGUCUGGGUGGUGCCCGCCAACAACCUCAUUUUUUCAGGUUGACCUCGGAUCAGGUAGGGAUACCCGCUGAACUUAAGCAUAU